Molecule: long non-coding RNA, 1127 nt
Organism: Oncorhynchus keta (chum salmon)
Lineage: Eukaryota; Metazoa; Chordata; Actinopteri; Salmoniformes; Salmonidae
Exons: 4
Source: RefSeq, a predicted model, not a curated record
CAAGUGCGCGCGCAUUUGCAAUAUGUUUCAAUGUGCAUUUACCAUAUGAAAUUUGACAUGCUCAAAAAUGCAAAAUUGACUGGUCUGAUGGACACAGGAUGGCCGAGCAGUGAUAGUUGUACAUUUCCAUCACUCGUUGUGUUGAUUUCAUCAUGUCCAUUAGGUGAUGUUUUUUCACUAUAGAAUCAUAUUGCAAAUGCACGUGCAUUGUUGUGCAACUGGUAACCCAAAAAUAAAAAUAUGGUUGUAAAUGCAUUUACCGGUCAUUCUGAUAUUAAUGCUCGCUAUGGGAACACAGGAUGGCCGGGCAGUGAUAGUUGUACAUUUCCAUCACUCGUUGUGUUGAUUUCAUCAUGUCCAUUAGGUGAUGUUUUUUCACUAUAGAAUCAUAUUGCAAAUGCACGUGCAUUGUUGUGCAACUGGUAACCCAAAAAUAAAAAUAUGGUUGUAAAUGCAUUUACCGGUCAUUCUGAUAUUAAUGCUCGCUAUGGGAACACAGGAUGGCCGGGCAGUGAUAGUUGUACAUUUCCAUCACUCGUUGUGUUGAUUUCAUCAUGUCCAUUAGGUGAUGUUUUUUCACUAUAGAAUCAUAUUGCAAAUGCACGUGCAUUGUUGUGCAACUGGUAACCCAAAAAUAAAAAUAUGGUUGUAAAUGCAUUUACCGGUCAUUCUGAUAUUAAUGCUCGCUAUGGGAACACAGGAUGGCCGGGCAGUGAUAGUUGUACAUUUCCAUCACUCGUUGUGUUGAUUUCAUCAUGUCCAUUAGGUGAUGUUUUUUCACUAUAGAAUCAUAUUGCAAAUGCACGUGCAUUGUUGUGCAACUGGUAACCCAAAAAUAAAAAUAUGGUUGUAAAUGCAUUUACCGGUCAUUCUGAUAUUAAUGCUCGCUAUGGGAACACAGGAUGGCCGGGCAGUGAUAGUUGUACAUUUCCAUCACUCGUUGUGUUGAUUUCAUCAUGUCCAUUAGGUGAUGUUUUUACACUAUAGAAUCAUAUUGCAAGUGCGCGCGCAUUUGCAAUAUGUUUCAAUGUGCAUUUACCAUAUGAAAUUUGACAUGCUCAAAAAUGCAAAAUUGACUGGUCUGAUGGACACAGGAUGGCCGAGCAGUGAUAGUUGUACAUUUCCAU